This 402-nucleotide ribosomal RNA is filed under the name uncultured bacterium. RNAcentral describes it as "bacterial SSU rRNA". It matches the Rfam family "Bacterial small subunit ribosomal RNA", at positions 355 to 749 of the family's 1533-position model. The record is from RNAcentral.
UGGGGAAUUUUGGACAAUGGGCGCAAGCCUGAUCCAGCAAUGCCGCGUGAGUGAAGAAGGCCUUCGGGUUGUAAAGCUCUUUUAGUUGAAAAGAAAAAAUCGUGACUAAUAAUCACGAUUCAUGACGGUAUCAACAGAAAAAGCACCGGCUAACUACGUGCCAGCAGCCGCGGUAAUACGUAGGGUGCAAGCGUUAAUCGGAAUUACUGGGCGUAAAGGGUGCGUAGGUGGUUUUGUAAGUCAGAUGUGAAAUCCCCAGGCUUAACCUGGGAAUUGCGUUUGAAACUGCAAGACUAGAGUGCGGCAGAGGGAGGUGGAAUUCCAUGUGUAGCAGUGAAAUGCGUAGAGAUAUGGAAGAACAUCGAUGGCGAAGGCAACCUCCUGGGCUAGCACUGACGCUCA